UAGGGAAUCUUCCACAAUGGACGCAAGUCUGAUGGAGCAACGGCCGCGUGAGUGAAGAAGGUUUUCGGACCGUAAAGCUCUGUUGUUGGUGAAGAAGGAUAGAGGUAGUAACUGGCCUUUAUUUGACGGUAAUCAACCAGAAAGUCACGGCUAACUACGUGCCAGCAGCCGCGGUAAUACGUAGGUGGCAAGCGUUGUCCGGAUUUAUUGGGCGUAAAGCGAGCGCAGGCGGAAGAAUAAGUCUGAUGUGAAAGCCCUCGGCUUAACCGAGGAAUUGCAUCGGAAACUGUUUUUCUUGAGUGCAGAAGAGGAGAGUAGAACUCCAUGUGUAGCGGUGGAAUGCGUAGAUAUAUGGAAGAAUACCAGUGGCGAAGGCGGCUCUCUGGUCUGCAACUGACGCUGAGGCUCGAAAGCAUGGGUAGCGAACAGGAUUAGAUACCCUGGUAGUC
This 449-nucleotide ribosomal RNA is filed under the name uncultured bacterium. RNAcentral's name for it is "partial 16S ribosomal RNA". It matches the Rfam family "Bacterial small subunit ribosomal RNA", at positions 355 to 795 of the family's 1533-position model. The record is from RNAcentral.